AACGUGGGUAACCUGCCUUAUAGUGGGGGAUAGCCUUUCGAAAGGAAGAUUAAUACCGCAUGAGAUUGUAGUAUCGCAUGAUAUAGCAAUUAAAGGAGCAAUCCGCUAUAAGAUGGACCCGCGUCGCAUUAGCUAGUUGGUGAGGUAAUGGCUCACCAAGGCGACGAUGCGUAGCCGACCUGAGAGGGUGAUCGGCCACAUUGGGACUGAGACACGGCCCAGACUCCUACGGGAGGCAGCAUG
Molecule: ribosomal RNA, 243 nt
Filed under: uncultured bacterium
Lineage: Bacteria
Description: partial 16S ribosomal RNA
Rfam family: Bacterial small subunit ribosomal RNA
Source: RNAcentral